Molecule: ribosomal RNA, 433 nt
Filed under: uncultured bacterium
Lineage: Bacteria
Description: partial 16S ribosomal RNA
Rfam family: Bacterial small subunit ribosomal RNA
Source: RNAcentral
AACGAACGCUGGCGGCAGGCCUAACACAUGCCAGUCGAGCGGACCUUUCGGGGUCAGCGGCGGACGGGUGAGUAACGCGUGGGAAUAUGCCCUUCUCUACGGAAUAGUCCUGGGAAACUGGGGGUAAUACCGUAUACGCCCUUUGGGGGAAAGAUUUAUCGGGGAAGGAUUAGCCCGCGUUGGAUUAGGUAGUUGGUGGGGUAAUGGCCUACCAAGCCGACGAUCCAUAGCUGGUUUGAGAGGAUGAUCAGCCACACUGGGACUGAGACACGGCCCAGACCCCCAGGGGGGGAGGCGGGGGGGAUUAUUAAAGAAGGGGGACACCCCUGACCGCCCCUGGCGGGGGGGGGGAAGAGGCCUUGGGGGUGGAAAACCCCUUUCGGUGGGAAAGAAAAGGAGGGGACGAGAAAAAGAGCCCCGGCCAACCCCGGUC